Molecule: non-coding RNA, 736 nt
Organism: Pantherophis guttatus
Lineage: Eukaryota; Metazoa; Chordata; Lepidosauria; Squamata; Colubridae
Source: RefSeq, a predicted model, not a curated record
CUAUACCAGCAUAGAUGAAAAGCUAAUAUAGAUUUGAUGUAAGGAGGAGGAGAGAAAGCUUUAAAAACAUGAGGCAGAAAGUACAUAGGAUGAGAAAAGAGAAGAUAAAUAUGUUUCAUAAUGAAUAACAUUUUGCUACUUCCAGAAGGUAGUGUUCUGUGCCAGAAAUUUAGAUUUAAAUUUAGAUUUAGAUUAAAAUAUUCUUGGAACUCCUACAAUCUAAAAUCAAGUUGCAGAAGAUUAAAGUUUAACCUGAAGUAAACCUCUGCUUCCAUUUCUGCAGGACAGAUAUAAACUAUCAAUAUCACUACAGGGAGGCAAUGCAUAAAACAAAGAAACUCAAAUAAACAGAUUAUUGGUUGCAAGGCAGGUGUCAAGCAACGCCAUAUUCCGAGGCAGAUGAAGUCAUGACCAAGACAAGCAAGUAGCAACACUUACCUAUAGAUGGGCUGCUUCUUUCGGUUCCAGUUCACCAUUUUGACCAUCAUCAUUUCCAACUGGGGACUAUUCUACAAUCUAUCAGGCUUACAGUACAAUAUUGGGAUAUUUCUCACCACAAAUAGUGGGGAUCUUCAGCAAUCAAGAUCUCCAAGGACCACAUAAAGCAGGAAGGCUACCAAUGACCAGAAUCCUGUACAACCUGACAUUUUCAAAAAACACUUUGAAAUGAAGUAAACAAGCACAUAAAAUUAGGUGUAAGCCCAUUAUAGUAAAUGUAUUUUUUAUCUACCAUUUU